CAGGAAAGCCAGCGAACAUGCUCUGGGGCAGCUCCCAGUAGAGCAGCAGUCAGGAUGGUCACGGAACAUGUUCCCAGACCGCGUCACAGGAGGGCCAAGGCUCAACCAAUACCUGCUCAGCAAAGUCUUCUCUGGCCAAAACAGCAUCCCAGAGUCCAAAACCAAGAGAUUCACUACCAAAAAAAAACCCAAAAGAGACCAGAUGAUGGACAGCAAAACACCCUUCAAGCCACCACCUCCAGUGGGCAGAGGGAAGACCCCAAUUUUCCCAAAUAGCAGACUUAUGACCAACUCAGCAACCACAUAAAGAAAACUACUGGAGGAUGUGCUCCACCAAGACACGAGAGUAAACCAAGAAAGGAGAAAGGCAUUGGACCCAGAAAGGAACACAAGUUGAUGUCAAUUUUGCUUCAGAUACCCCUACCUGCUCUGCUGACAGGUCAAAAAUCAAGAAAAGACCAUGCUUCCUGACAGACCCUUUGGGAACCAAGGCAAUGGUCUCCCCACCCGACUAAAGGUUAGCCAGCAUCAGGGAGCAGGAUCCCCCAGGGCCAGUCAUUCAAUAAAGAUUUAAAUACCCCCUGUGAGCAGGUUCCACAGGCAAUGCAGGGAAAGAGCUCUCAGGAAGCAUAGGUGGAGGCAGGG
Molecule: long non-coding RNA, 645 nt
Filed under: Heterocephalus glaber (naked mole-rat)
Lineage: Eukaryota; Metazoa; Chordata; Mammalia; Rodentia; Bathyergidae
Description: lncRNA (ENSHGLG00100045251.1)
Source: RNAcentral